RNAcentral lists this ribosomal RNA (2906 nucleotides) under Enterobacter roggenkampii. RNAcentral's name for it is "23S ribosomal RNA". It matches the Rfam family "Bacterial large subunit ribosomal RNA". Lineage: Bacteria; Pseudomonadati; Pseudomonadota; Gammaproteobacteria; Enterobacterales; Enterobacteriaceae. The record is from RNAcentral.
GGUUAAGCGACUAAGCGUACACGGUGGAUGCCCUGGCAGUCAGAGGCGAUGAAGGACGUGCUAAUCUGCGAAAAGCGCCGGCGAGGUGAUAUGAACCUUUGACCCGGCGAUGUCCGAAUGGGGAAACCCAGUGUGUUCCGACACACUAUCGUUAACUGAAUACAUAGGUUAACGAGGCGAACCGGGGGAACUGAAACAUCUAAGUACCCCGAGGAAAAGAAAUCAACCGAGAUUCCCCCAGUAGCGGCGAGCGAACGGGGAGCAGCCCAGAGUCUGAAUCAGCUUGUGUGUUAGUGGAAGCGUCUGGAAAGUCGCACGGUACAGGGUGACAGUCCCGUACACGAAAAUGCACAGGUUGUGAACUCGAAGAGUAGGGCGGGACACGUGGUAUCCUGUCUGAAUAUGGGGGGACCAUCCUCCAAGGCUAAAUACUCCUGACUGACCGAUAGUGAACCAGUACCGUGAGGGAAAGGCGAAAAGAACCCCGGCGAGGGGAGUGAAACAGAACCUGAAACCGUGUACGUACAAGCAGUGGGAGCACCUUCGUGGUGUGACUGCGUACCUUUUGUAUAAUGGGUCAGCGACUUAUAUUCUGUAGCAAGGUUAACCGUAUAGGGGAGCCGAAGGGAAACCGAGUCUUAACUGGGCGUUAAGUUGCAGGGUAUAGACCCGAAACCCGGUGAUCUAGCCAUGGGCAGGUUGAAGGUUGGGUAACACUAACUGGAGGACCGAACCGACUAAUGUUGAAAAAUUAGCGGAUGACUUGUGGCUGGGGGUGAAAGGCCAAUCAAACCGGGAGAUAGCUGGUUCUCCCCGAAAGCUAUUUAGGUAGCGCCUCGUGAACUCAUCUUCGGGGGUAGAGCACUGUUUCGGCUAGGGGGCCAUCCCGGCUUACCAACCCGAUGCAAACUACGAAUACCGAAGAAUGUUAUCACGGGAGACACACGGCGGGUGCUAACGUCCGUCGUGAAGAGGGAAACAACCCAGACCGCCAGCUAAGGUCCCAAAGUCAUGGUUAAGUGGGAAACGAUGUGGGAAGGCACAGACAGCCAGGAUGUUGGCUUAGAAGCAGCCAUCAUUUAAAGAAAGCGUAAUAGCUCACUGGUCGAGUCGGCCUGCGCGGAAGAUGUAACGGGGCUAAACCAUGCACCGAAGCUGCGGCAGCGACGCUUAUGCGUUGUUGGGUAGGGGAGCGUUCUGUAAGCCGUUGAAGGUGGCCUGUGAGGGUUGCUGGAGGUAUCAGAAGUGCGAAUGCUGACAUAAGUAACGAUAAAGCGGGUGAAAAGCCCGCUCGCCGGAAGACCAAGGGUUCCUGUCCAACGUUAAUCGGGGCAGGGUGAGUCGACCCCUAAGGCGAGGCCGAAAGGCGUAGUCGAUGGGAAACAGGUUAAUAUUCCUGUACUUGGUGUUACUGCGAAGGGGGGACGGAGAAGGCUAUGUUAGCCGGGCGACGGUUGUCCCGGUUUAAGCAUGUAGGCGGAACGAUUAGGUAAAUCCGGUCGUUUAUUAACGCUGAGGUGUGAUGACGAGGCACUACGGUGCUGAAGUAACAAAUGCCCUGCUUCCAGGAAAAGCCUCUAAGCAUCAGGUAACAUCAAAUCGUACCCCAAACCGACACAGGUGGUCAGGUAGAGAAUACCAAGGCGCUUGAGAGAACUCGGGUGAAGGAACUAGGCAAAAUGGUGCCGUAACUUCGGGAGAAGGCACGCUGAUAUGUAGGUGAAGCCCCUGCGGGUGGAGCUGAAAUCAGUCGAAGAUACCAGCUGGCUGCAACUGUUUAUUAAAAACACAGCACUGUGCAAACACGAAAGUGGACGUAUACGGUGUGACGCCUGCCCGGUGCCGGAAGGUUAAUUGAUGGGGUUAGCGGCAACGCGAAGCUCUUGAUCGAAGCCCCGGUAAACGGCGGCCGUAACUAUAACGGUCCUAAGGUAGCGAAAUUCCUUGUCGGGUAAGUUCCGACCUGCACGAAUGGCGUAAUGAUGGCCAGGCUGUCUCCACCCGAGACUCAGUGAAAUUGAACUCGCUGUGAAGAUGCAGUGUACCCGCGGCAAGACGGAAAGACCCCGUGAACCUUUACUAUAGCUUGACACUGAACACUGGUCCUUGAUGUGUAGGAUAGGUGGGAGGCUUUGAAGCGUGGACGCCAGUCUGCGUAGAGCCGUCCUUGAAAUACCACCCUUUGAUGGCUGGUGUUCUAACGUAGACCCGUAAUCCGGGUUGCGGACAGUGUCUGGUGGGUAGUUUGACUGGGGCGGUCUCCUCCCAAAGAGUAACGGAGGAGCACGAAGGUUAGCUAAUCCUGGUCGGACAUCAGGAGGUUAGUGCAAUGGCAUAAGCUAGCUUGACUGCGAGAGUGACGGCUCGAGCAGGUGCGAAAGCAGGUCAUAGUGAUCCGGUGGUUCUGAAUGGAAGGGCCAUCGCUCAACGGAUAAAAGGUACUCCGGGGAUAACAGGCUGAUACCGCCCAAGAGUUCAUAUCGACGGCGGUGUUUGGCACCUCGAUGUCGGCUCAUCACAUCCUGGGGCUGAAGUAGGUCCCAAGGGUAUGGCUGUUCGCCAUUUAAAGUGGUACGCGAGCUGGGUUUAGAACGUCGUGAGACAGUUCGGUCCCUAUCUGCCGUGGGCGCUGGAGAAUUGAGGGGGGCUGCUCCUAGUACGAGAGGACCGGAGUGGACGCAUCACUGGUGUUCGGGUUGUCAUGCCAAUGGCACUGCUCGGUAGCUAAAUGCGGAAAAGAUAAGUGCUGAAAGCAUCUAAGCACGAAACUUGCCCCGAGAUGAGUUCUCCCUGAGACUUUAAGUCUCCUGAAGGAACGUUGAAGACGACGACGUUGAUAGGUCGGGUGUGUAAGCGCAGCGAUGCGUUGAGCUAACCGAUACUAAUGAACCGUGAGGCUUAACCUU